This 460-nucleotide ribosomal RNA is filed under the name uncultured bacterium. RNAcentral's name for it is "partial 16S ribosomal RNA". It matches the Rfam family "Bacterial small subunit ribosomal RNA", at positions 338 to 795 of the family's 1533-position model. The record is from RNAcentral.
CCUACGGGCGGCAGCAGUGAGGAAUAUUGGUCAAUGGGCUUACGCCUGAAGCAGCCAAGCCGCGUGAGGGAAGACUGCUCUAGGGGUUGUAAACCUCUUUUGUCAGGGAGCAAUUGGCGCUACGUGUAGCGGUAUCGAGAGUACCUGAAGAACAAGCAGCGGCUAACUCCGUGCCAGCACCCGCGGUAAUACGGGGGAUGCGAGCGUUAUCCGGAUUUAUUGGGUUUAAAGGGUGCGUAGGCGGAGUCCCAAGUCAGCGGUAAAAUCGCGGGGCUCAACCUCGAUCCGCCGUUGAAACUGGCGUGCUGGAGUGGGCGAGAGGUAUGUGGAAUGCGUAGUGUAGCGGUGAAAUGCAUAGAUAUCACGCAGAACUCCGAUUGCGAAGGCAGCAUACCGGCGCCCAACUGACGCUGAGGCACGAAAGCGUGGGUAUCGAACAGGAUUAGAUACCCUAGUAGUC